UGGGGAAUCUUGCGCAAUGGGCGAAAGCCUGACGCAGCGACGCCGCGUGAGUGAUGAAGGCCUUCGGGUUGUAAAGCUCUGUGGGGAGAGACGAAUAAGUUCCGGUUAAUACCCGGAGCGAUGACGGUAUCUCCUUAGCAAGCACCGGCUAACUCUGUGCCAGCAGCCGCGGUAAGACAGAGGGUGCAAACGUUGUUCGGAAUUACUGGGCGUAAAGCGCGUGUAGGCGGCACGGCAUGUCGGAUGUGAAAUCCCAUGGCUCAACCAUGGAAGUGCACCCGAAACUGCCGAGCUGGAGUCUCGGAGAGGAAGGCGGAAUGCUUGGUGUAGAGGUGAAAUUCGUAGAUAUCAAGCGGAACACCGGUGGCGAAGGCGGCCUUCUGGACGAUGACUGACGCUGAGACGCGAAAGCGUGGGGAGCAAAC
Molecule: ribosomal RNA, 425 nt
Filed under: uncultured bacterium
Lineage: Bacteria
Description: bacterial SSU rRNA
Rfam family: Bacterial small subunit ribosomal RNA
Source: RNAcentral